Molecule: ribosomal RNA, 253 nt
Filed under: uncultured bacterium
Lineage: Bacteria
Also listed under: 1 other name
Description: partial 16S ribosomal RNA
Rfam family: Bacterial small subunit ribosomal RNA
Source: RNAcentral
UACGUAGGGGGCAGGCGUUAUCCGGAUUUACUGGGUGUAAAGGGAGCGUAGACGGCAAGGCAAGUCUGAUGUGAAAGGCGGGGGCUCAACUCCUGGACUGCAUUGGAAACUGUCAAGCUAGAGUGUCGGAGGGGUAAGCGGAAUUCCUGGUGUAGCGGUGAAAUGCGCAGAUAUCAGGAGGAACACCGGUGGCGAAGGCGGCUUACUGGACGGCAACUGACGUUGAGGCUCGAAAGCGUGGGGAGCAAACAGG